GGCCACAUCUGCCAGAGCCUGGAGUCUGCGAAGGCCGGGACCCGGUUCCCCGGCCCACCGUGGGGGGGGGUGUGCAAACCCGAGAGAACUGGGAAGUGCCGUCAGAAGCGAUAACUGACGACGUCUAAUGUCUAUCUGACCGCAGUCGCUGAAACCUCUACAACUUAGUUGACCGUAACUGCCAGAGCCCUGCCCUGAAUUCCUGUCCUUACUCCCUCUUUAAGAUUGCGUACCCACUGCAGAGUGCUGAAGACGGGGUAGCCACGAGGUUGCAAAUUCGUGAAGAAUCAGCAUCAUGUUUGGCAGCUGAGUAUUGGAGCCAGGAGCCUGCCAUGAGCCGAUGCAGCCUCAGUGUUCCUUUGCCUUGGGGGUUUCUGAGUGGGGGGGUUGUAAGCAGAUCCUGCCAGGCACCCAGAAGGAAACCUCAUCAGGACUCCCUCAGAAAGCAGGCCCUGAAGAAUCCUGUGACCUUCCUCUAAAGUAGGUCGUGAGACCCCUGAGCUUAAAACGGAGUGAUCGGCUUUGGAGAAAAAUCCCUGGAAGGCACGCAGGCUGGACAUCAUCAUAUAUUCUCUACAGAUGGAGACACCAAAGCCCACGCCUUCUGUGCUGUUGGAAUUUCAGGAAGGAUGGGGGUGGGGCACGGCCUCAGCCCUGGGCAUGUUCUGCAGAUUGCACUGCUCUUAUCUGCCAGGGGGUGGUGAGAGGGUGGCUGAGCUGGACAGAUGGCGGGCAGGGACGGGCUCUGCGGUCUGGCAGCUGACAUUGAUACAAGCAAAUAAAGUCCUUGCUGGGG
RNAcentral lists this antisense RNA (796 nucleotides) under Pan troglodytes (chimpanzee). The stretch from base 68 to 141 matches the Rfam family "Small nucleolar RNA SNORD49". The record is from RNAcentral. Lineage: Eukaryota; Metazoa; Chordata; Mammalia; Primates; Hominidae.